CCUACGGGAGACAGCAGUGAGGAAUAUUGGUCAAUGGCCGGAAGGCUGAACCAGCCAUGCCGCGUGAAGGUCAGUGCCCUAUGGGAGUUAAACUUCUUUUGUGCGGGAGCAAUAAUGGUCACGUGUGGCCAGACGAGAGUACCGUACGAAUAAGCAUCGGCGAACUCCGGGCCAGUAGCCGCGGGAAUACGGGGGAUGCAAGCGUUAUCCGGGUUUAUUGGGUUUAAAGGGGGCGUAGGCUGUGAGGUAAGUCAGCGGUGAAAUGCCCCCGGUCAACGGGGUGAAGUGCCAUUGAUACUGGCAUGCUGGAGUGCGGAUGCCGUGGGAGGAAUGUGUGGUGUAGCGGUGAAAUGCAUAGAUAUCACACAGAACACCGAUUGCGAAGGCAUCUCACGAAUCCGCGAUUGACGCUGAUGCACGAAAGCGUGGGUAUCAAACAGGAUUAGAUACCCCUGUAGUC
Molecule: ribosomal RNA, 460 nt
Filed under: uncultured bacterium
Lineage: Bacteria
Description: partial 16S ribosomal RNA
Rfam family: Bacterial small subunit ribosomal RNA
Source: RNAcentral